GACGAACGCUGGCGGCGUGCUUAACACAUGCAAGUCGAACGGAAAGGCCCUGCUUUUGUGGGGUGCUCGAGUGGCGAACGGGUGAGUAACACGUGAGUAACCUGCCCUUGACUUUGGGAUAACUUCAGGAAACUGGGGCUAAUACCGGAUAGGAGCUCCUGCUGCAUGGUGGGGGUUGGAAAGUUUCGGCGGUUGGGGAUGGACUCGCGGCUUAUCAGCUUGUUGGUGGGGUAGUGGCUUACCAAGGCUUUGACGGGUAGCCGGCCUGAGAGGGUGACCGGCCACAUUGGGACUGAGAUACGGCCCAGACUCCUACGUUGGGCAGCAGUGGAGAAUAUUGCACAAUGGGCGGAAGCCUGAUACAGCAACGCCGCGUGCGGGAUGACGGCCUUCGGGUUGUAAACCGCUUUCACCUAUUACGAAGCGUGAGUGACGGUAAUAAGUAAAGAAGCACCGGCUAACUACGUG
Molecule: ribosomal RNA, 468 nt
Filed under: uncultured bacterium
Lineage: Bacteria
Description: partial 16S ribosomal RNA
Rfam family: Bacterial small subunit ribosomal RNA
Source: RNAcentral